This 253-nucleotide ribosomal RNA is filed under the name uncultured bacterium. RNAcentral's name for it is "partial 16S ribosomal RNA". It matches the Rfam family "Bacterial small subunit ribosomal RNA", at positions 524 to 776 of the family's 1533-position model. The record is from RNAcentral.
UACGAAGGGGGCUAGCGUUGCUCGGAAUCACUGGGCGUAAAGGGUGCGUAGGCGGGUCUUUAAGUCAGGGGUGAAAUCCUGGAGCUCAACUCCAGAACUGCCUUUGAUACUGAGGAUCUUGAGUUCGGGAGAGGUGAGUGGAACUGCGAGUGUAGAGGUGAAAUUCGUAGAUAUUCGCAAGAACACCAGCGGCGAAGGCGGCGCUCUGGGCCGGUACUGACGCUGAGGAGCGAAAGCGUGGGUAGCAAACAGG